This 74-nucleotide transfer RNA is filed under the name Uranoscopus bicinctus. RNAcentral describes it as "tRNA-Val". It matches the Rfam family "tRNA". From Rfam's summary of the family: Transfer RNA (tRNA) molecules are approximately 80 nucleotides in length. Lineage: Eukaryota; Metazoa; Chordata; Actinopteri; Uranoscopiformes; Uranoscopidae. The record is from RNAcentral.
CGGGGCAUCGCUUAACUAGUUUAAAGUAUCUCCCUUACACCGAGAAGACACCCGUGCAAACCGGGUUGCCCUGA